Hevea brasiliensis (rubber tree) is the source of this 1173-nucleotide long non-coding RNA. RefSeq lists it as uncharacterized. The transcript is spliced from 2 exons. The record is from RefSeq and is a predicted model, not a curated record. Lineage: Eukaryota; Viridiplantae; Streptophyta; Magnoliopsida; Malpighiales; Euphorbiaceae.
CAUCAUUGUAAAGGAUCUUGAUAGCAUCGUCGAAUCGGCAUAGCACCGUCCAAGAGUAAGACCUACCAACAACUGAACAAGGCAACAAAUAUCAAAGGCUAGAUUCUUCAACACAGAGUGCUUGGACCCAAAACAAAGGAAACGCCGAUGAAAAAAAGGAGUCAGCAUGUAAGCCUCAAGGAAAUUACGUCAGCACCUCAGCAGGCAAACAGCUUCAGCAAUAGGCCUUUUUUGUGUUCCAUUCACACCUUUCGAGCCAAUCUACUAAAUCGCACCCCACGAGUUACCCACCAGAUGACCGUUCCAAACGAGACUAGAGGAAAUGAAUACACAUGUCAACAAACAGAGUUAUGAAGGCUCUAAGCAUAUCUAUAAAAUCAAUUCUUCGUAUGCCUUAAGAGCUGCAACAGCAACACUCAAAAGAAAACUAAUGCGAAACAGAAAACAAGCAAAGAACACAAGAUCACAACUAAAAGUUCUGUAAAACUAAUCCGCGCAGAUCAACCAUCAUCCCUCACCAAUCAAGCCCAAUCUGCAUGUAAAAAGAGGUCAUUCUAACUUAUUUACAACCCCACUCGGAGAUGAUGAGGGAGAGAACCACUCUCCGGGAAAGGGAAUGAAGGGUAUCCCUGGCCAAAAGGGGCAGAAGAAGGCCGCAAAUCGACCAGGAACAAGUGACCUGAACUUGCAAAGGAGAAGAACAAAGGUAAGAGAAAACGACGCGAAAGAGUUGAGGCAAUUGGAUGAUUAAAGUCGAAGGUUGAGACCAUUGACUUCAAAUUGCCUAAGAUUGAAGUCAACGUUGUUUUCCAGUCCACUCCUCGGUGGAAACUAGUUGACGCUCACCUGGACGCUUGCAUGCACAGGCUGUUGAAGCCUCGCCUUUCCUCGUCGUUGCUCUAGGUCUUCUGAUCCUGUUUGUAUAUUUUAGCUUAUGGGUGUUUUUUGAAUUUUCAUCUAUUCAGUUUCGUGUGUUUCUUAAAUGGGCUUCUAUUCUUGAAUUAGUUAUUUGUUGAAUUGCUUGUAAUUGCAAUAUGUGAGGCUUUAAAUAGAAUAUGGACAUGCAACUUUUGAAUAGAAUCUGGACUUGUAGCUUGUAAACUACAAUUUUGAUUAUAGAUCUGGAAGUAUUCUGUAGUUAUUUCUUUUAAUAAAUUGAUGUAAUUAGUUGAA